Molecule: ribosomal RNA, 427 nt
Filed under: uncultured bacterium
Lineage: Bacteria
Description: partial 16S ribosomal RNA
Rfam family: Bacterial small subunit ribosomal RNA
Source: RNAcentral
UGGGGAAUAUUGCACAAUGGGCGCAAGCCUGAUGCAGCCAUGCCGCGUGUAUGAAGAAGGCCUUCGGGUUGUAAAGUACUUUCAGCGGGGAGGAAGGUGUUGUGGUUAAUAACCACAGCAAUUGACGUUACCCGCAGAAGAAGCACCGGCUAACUCCGUGCCAGCAGCCGCGGAAAUACGGAGGGUGCAAGCGUUAAUCGGAAUUACUGGGCGUAAAGCGCACGCAGGCGGUCUGUCAAGUCGGAUGUGAAAUCCCCGGGCUCAACCUGGGAACUGCAUCCGAAACUGGCAGGCUUGAGUCUUGUAGAGGGGGGUAGAAUUCCAGGUGUAGCGGUGAAAUGCGUAGAGAUCUGGAGGAAUACCGGUGGCGAAGGCGGCCCCCUGGACAAAGACUGACGCUCAGGUGCGAAAGCGUGGGGAGCAAACA